RNAcentral lists this transfer RNA (83 nucleotides) under Dreissena polymorpha. It matches the Rfam family "tRNA". From Rfam's summary of the family: Transfer RNA (tRNA) molecules are approximately 80 nucleotides in length. The record is from Rfam by way of RNAcentral. Lineage: Eukaryota; Metazoa; Mollusca; Bivalvia; Myida; Dreissenidae.
AGUACAAUGGUCGAGUGGUUAAGGCGUUAGACUUAAGUUCCAAUAGACGAAUGUCCUCAUGGGUUCAAACCCCAUCCGUACUA